AGAGUUUGAUCAUGGCUCAGAUUGAACGCUGGCGGCAUGCUUUACACAUGCAAGUCGAACGGUAACAGGGAGCUUGCUCCGCUGACGAGUGGCGAACGGGUGAGUAAUGCGUCGGAACGUGCCGAGUAGUGGGGGAUAACGCAUCGAAAGGUGUGCUAAUACCGCAUACGAACUGAGGUUGAAAGUGGGGGACCUUCGGGCCUCACGCUAUUCGAGCGGCCGACGUCUGAUUAGCUAGUUGGUGAGGUAAAGGCUCACCAAGGCGACGAUCAGUAGCGGGUCUGAGAGGAUGAUCCGCCACACUGGGACUGAGACACGGCCCAGACUCCUACGGGAGGCAGCAGUGGGGAAUUUUGGACAAUGGGCGCAAGCCUGAUCCAGCCAUGCCGCGUGUCUGAAGAAGGCCUUCGGGUUGUAAAGGACUUUUGUCCGGGAGCAAAUGCCUGGUGUAAUAGCAUCGGGAGCUGAGAGUACCGGAAGAAUAAGCACCGGCUAACUACGUGCCAGCAGCCGCGGUAAUACGUAGGGUGCAAGCGUUAAUCGGAAUUACUGGGCGUAAAGCGUGCGCAGGCGGUUUUGUAAGCCAGAUGUGAAAGCCCCGGGCUCAACCUGGGAACUGCGUUUGGAACUACAAGACUAGAGUGUGUCAGA
RNAcentral lists this ribosomal RNA (651 nucleotides) under aquatic bacterium R1-B34. Its description in RNAcentral is "bacterial SSU rRNA". It matches the Rfam family "Bacterial small subunit ribosomal RNA", at positions 8 to 655 of the family's 1533-position model. The record is from RNAcentral.